GACGAACGCUGGCGGCGUGCUUAACACAUGCAAGUCGAACGAAGUGGCGAACGGGUGAGUAAUACGUGGGUAACCUGCCCUCCUUUUUGGGAUAAGCCUUGGAAACGGGGUCUAAUACCGAAUAAAGGGGGAUGGGCUCGCGGCCUAUCAGCUUGUUGGUGGGGUGAUGGCCUACCAAGGCGGUGACGGGUAGCCGGCCUGAGAGGGUGACCGGACACAUGAGGAGUGAGAUACGGCGCAGAGUCCUACGGGAGGCAGCAGUGGGGGAUAUUGCACAAUGGGGGAAAACCUGAUGCAGCGCCGCCGCGAGGGGGAUGAAGGCUUUCGGGUUGUAAACCUCUUUCGCUAUCGAAGGGGUAGGUGGAGAAGAAGCGCCGGCUAACUACGUGCCAGCAGCCGCGGUAAUAC
This 408-nucleotide ribosomal RNA is filed under the name uncultured bacterium. RNAcentral describes it as "partial 16S ribosomal RNA". It matches the Rfam family "Bacterial small subunit ribosomal RNA", at positions 28 to 526 of the family's 1533-position model. The record is from RNAcentral.